CAGCCCCGGCUGGCGGCCGACGGGCCAUAAAGGGCCCGAGGAAACUCCGCCCUCCCCGCGGCAACCGGGCCCCGCAAGGGGCGCGGGUGAAACCCGCGGCAACGACACAGAAACGACACGGCCCCAGGCCGAUGACAGUGAAGCUGCGAGACCCUCCAGGUAACUGGAGGGUGGUAACCAGCCGAGGAGCCUGGGGAUGCGGUGAAACGGUCGACCCCGGUGGAGCAAGGCUUCCAGCCGAGGAGGCGCCGCGCGAGGCUGGAGGAGUGACCGCUGAGUCGAAUGCCGCCGUAGUACAGAAGGCGGGUUAUAGCCGGGGCUG
RNAcentral lists this RNase P RNA (322 nucleotides) under Thermodiscus eudorianus (SeqCode). RNAcentral describes it as "Candidatus Thermodiscus eudorianus RNase P RNA component". It matches the Rfam family "Archaeal RNase P". Rfam says of the family: Ribonuclease P (RNase P) is a ubiquitous endoribonuclease, found in archaea, bacteria and eukarya as well as chloroplasts and mitochondria. Its best characterised activity is the generation of mature 5'-ends of tRNAs by cleaving the 5'-leader elements of precursor-tRNAs. The record is from RNAcentral. Lineage: Archaea; Thermoproteati; Thermoproteota; Thermoprotei; Acidilobales; Acidilobaceae.